RNAcentral lists this ribosomal RNA (468 nucleotides) under uncultured bacterium. RNAcentral describes it as "partial 16S ribosomal RNA". It matches the Rfam family "Bacterial small subunit ribosomal RNA", at positions 28 to 507 of the family's 1533-position model. The record is from RNAcentral.
GACGAACGCUGGCGGCGUGCUUAACACAUGCAAGUCGAACGGAAAGGCCCUGCUUUUGUGGGGUGCUCGAGUGGCGAACGGGUGAGUAACACGUGAGUAACCUGCCAUUGACUUUGGGAUAACUUCAGGAAACUGGGGCUAAUACCGGAUAGGAGCUCCUGCUGCAUGGUGGGGGUUGGAAAGUUUCGGCGGUUGGGGAUGGACUCGCGGCUUAUCAGCUUGUUGGUGGGGUAGUGGCUUACCAAGGCUUUGACGGGUAGCCGGCCUGAGAGGGUGACCGGCCACAUUGGGACUGAGAUACGGCCCAGACUCCUACGGGAGGCAGCAGUGGGGAAUAUUGCACAAUGGGCGGAAGCCUGGUGCAGCAACGCCGCGUGCGGGAUGACGGCCUUCGGGUUGUAAACCGCUUUCGCCUGUGACGAAGCGUGAGUGACGGUAAUGGGUAAAGAAGCACCGGCUAACUACGUG